AGAGUUUGAUCCUGGCUCAGGAUGAACGCUAGCGGCAGGCUUAACACAUGCAAGUCGAGGGGCAUCGCGGGGUAGCAAUACUCUGGCGGCGACCGGCGAAAGGGUGAGUAACGCGUGAGCAACAUGCCCGGUACUGGGGGAUAGUCGAUGGAAACGUCGCGUAAUACCCCGUAACAUACGGAACCGCAUGAUUCUGUAUUGAGAGAUUUAUUGAUUCCGGAUUGGCUCGCGUACCAUUAGGUAGUUGGUAGGGUAACGGCCUACCAAGCCGACGAUGGUUAGGGGUUCUGAGAGGAAGGUCCCCCACAUUGGAACUGAGACACGGUCCAGACUCCUACGGGAGGCAGCAGUGAGGAAUAUUGGUCAAUGGCCGAGAGGCUGAACCAGCCAUGCCGCGUGCGGGAGGACGGCCCUAUGGGUUGUAAACCGCUUUUGUCAGGGGGCAAUAAGGGCCACGCGUGGCCUGAUGAGAGUACCUGGCGAAUAAGCAUCGGCUAACUCCGUGCCAGCAGCCGCGGUAAUACGGAGGAUGCAAGCGUUAUCCGGAUUUAUUGGGUUUAAAGGGUGCGUAGGCGGAAGCUUAAGCGUGAGGUGAAAUGCCACAGCUCAACUGUGGAACUGCCUCGCGAACUGGGUUUCUGGAAUGCCCCUGCCGUGGGAGGAAUGUGUGGUGUAGCGGUGAAAUGCAUAGAGAUCACACAGAACACCGAUUGCGAAGGCAUCUCACGAAGGGGUGAUUGACGCUGAGGCACGAAAGCGUGGGGAUCAAACAGGAUUAGAUACCCUGGUAGUCCACGCAGUAAACGAUGAUGACUAACCGCUGGGUUUACGGAUUCAGUGGCCAAGCGAAAGCGAUAAGUCAUCCACCUGGGGAGUACGACCGCAAGGUUGAAACUCAAAGGAAUUGACGGGGGCCCGCACAAGCGGAGGAACACGUGGUUUAAUUCGAUGAUACGCGAGGAACCUUACCCGGGCUCGAACGGC
This 984-nucleotide ribosomal RNA is filed under the name uncultured rumen bacterium. RNAcentral's name for it is "bacterial SSU rRNA". It matches the Rfam family "Bacterial small subunit ribosomal RNA", at positions 8 to 989 of the family's 1533-position model. The record is from RNAcentral.